GGUCAUGGCUCAGUGGUAGAGUGCUUGCCUAGCAUGUGUGAGGCCCUGGGUUCCCAGCACCA
Molecule: transfer RNA, 62 nt
Filed under: Marmota monax (woodchuck)
Lineage: Eukaryota; Metazoa; Chordata; Mammalia; Rodentia; Sciuridae
Description: tRNA.Ala
Source: RNAcentral